RNAcentral lists this ribosomal RNA (497 nucleotides) under uncultured bacterium. RNAcentral describes it as "partial 16S ribosomal RNA". It matches the Rfam family "Bacterial small subunit ribosomal RNA", at positions 28 to 507 of the family's 1533-position model. The record is from RNAcentral.
GACAAACGCUGGCGGCGUGCCUAAUACAUGCAAGUCGAGCGAACAGACGAGGAGCUUGCUCCUCUGACGUUAGCGGCGGACGGGUGAGUAACACGUGGAUAACCUACCUAUAAGACUGGGAUAACUUCGGGAAACCGGAGCUAAUACCGGAUAAUAUAUUGAACCGCAUGGUUCAAUAGUGAAAGCCGGUUUUGCUGUCACUUAUAGAUGGAUCCGCGCCGCAUUAGCUAGUUGGUAAGGUAACGGCUUACCAAGGCGACGAUGCGUAGCCGACCUGAGAGGGUGAUCGGCCACACUGGAACUGAGACACGGUCCAGACUCCUACGGGAGGCAGCAGUAGGGAAUCUUCCGCAAUGGGCGAAAGCCUGACGGAGCAACGCCGCGUGAGUGAUGAAGGUCUUCGGAUCGUAAAACUCUGUUAUUAGGGAAGAACAAAUGUGUAAGUAACUAUGCACGUCUUGACGGUACCUAAUCAGAAAGCCACGGCUAACUACGUG